This 2355-nucleotide long non-coding RNA is filed under the name Salarias fasciatus (jewelled blenny). Its description in RNAcentral is "lncRNA (ENSSFAG00005017214.1)". The record is from RNAcentral. Lineage: Eukaryota; Metazoa; Chordata; Actinopteri; Blenniiformes; Blenniidae.
UGGAGCCGUGCGAUAGCGGCGAGGAGGAGACCAUGGAGACGCUGGUGGCUGCCGACUCGCUUCUCAGCAUGGACUGUGCCGACACGCUGCCGCUGGACCAGCCCUACACUCAGACCUAUUUCCAGUCGCUGGGAGACGUCGUGGCCACUCCUGUCACCCAGGUGACGGUGUCGGCGGAGGGGGUCGUGGGCGCCGUCGACCAGCGCAGGGCUCUCGCUGCACGCCGACAAGGUCCGUGACUCAGCUGCAGCCAAGAAGAGAGGUCAGGGCCAGCCGCUGCGCUCGCACAGCCUCACCUGGAGGGGAAAGCCGUGGCUCGAGUUUCACAGGAAUUAUCCGCAAAUGGCUUUCUGUGCCGCCACAGGUAGGAAGCCACGCCAUCGGAGGGCAGACUCCCCAAACUCCAAACAUCCGUGAAGAAGGACAAAUACAACAAAGGAGGAAACACGCUGUACCUGUGGCAGUUCCUGAUGGAGCUCCUGCAGGACAGGCAGGUCUGUCCGCGCUACAUCAAAUGGACCAAUCCCCACGCCGGAAUCUUCAAGCUGGUCAAUUCCAAAGCGGUGGCCAGGCUCUGGGCAAACACAAGAACAAGCCGGACAUGAACUAUGAGACGAUGGGUUCGAGCGCUCAGGUACUACUACCAGAGGGGCAUCCUGAACAAGGUGGAGGGCCAGCGCCUGGUGUACCAGUUCACCUCUCUGCCCAAAGACAUGGUUUAUAUCACCGAAGGCGAUGGCGCCCAGGCGGAGGCAGACGACAGAUGCAGUGACGACGAGGAAGCGAGCGACGACUCCGACAGUACCAUAUCCUCCAGCGACCGCUCGGUGAACGAGGAGGAGUCUCCGCCGCACAAGAAGACCUGGUCCGGCUCGUCGCGGGCUCAGCGCGGCGGGCCGGAUCCCGUGCCCCCGGUUCAGCGCGGCGCCGGCUCCAGCCUGAUCCAGGAGCAGCACCUGCCCAUCGUGUCCGCCGAGAUGCUGCGGACGCUGCAGAACCUGCAGAAGGUCCGGUCGCUGCAGCCCGCCGGCCACGCCUCCGUCUUCCAGACGGCCCAGCUGCUGGGGAGUCUGUGCGAGCGCCAGGCCGCCGCCGAGGGAGCCGGACCCGCGCAGAGUCCCAGCCCGGACAGAAAGCGUCACGGUCCGUGUCUUUAAUGACCUCCGACCCCGUGUCCAAACACUGGCCGGCUUCAGGGCUGCGCUCUGCUCGCCAGCGGAGGUUUCCAGGCUCGCAGUUCUGCUCUGAAUUGAUCUUGUUUGUGAACAGGGGUGUUUUCCAUUGAUACGGAAUGAUUGGUCUGUUUACUGUCUCAGAAAAGACGAAACACCGUUAAGUGGGCUUCAGUUUUUAUCUGCAGCCUUUCACUUUACACCAAAGACAGACAGCACUGGAAACCGCAGCCUCUGCUUCGCUGUUCCAUCCGCACACUGCCCUCCUCAGUUGCCUUUACUGUUUUAUUUUCCUCUGUUUUUGUUUGUCCUCUCACAUUUUGACUCGUUCCUUUGAAAGUGGCUUUUGCACUAAUGUUUACUCCUGCUGUACGUUUCUUCUCUAAGUGCCUGAAAUGUCGAUCAGCUCCUCUGCUCCUGUUACUUUGAGGUUAUUGAGGGAAAACAUUCCAAAAUAAUGUUUUUUUUUUUUUUUUUUUUUAAGUCGUGUUCGUGUUGAGCGUUGAUGUAAAGAAGGGAUCACUGUCGUUUCUAGAGUCGUAGCUAAGCACUGCUGCUGUUUAGAGUGUGUACCUGUCUAAUCAGCGGAGAUUUCUUCUCUGGACAAUCAGCAGCGAUGUGGUCGUCAGGCCCGCCUGCCUCCUAUAGCCUUAUUCUACUUUCUGCCAUGCUCACGUUGGAUUUAGUGGUUGCACCUACAGAAUAUAAAUCCAUAUAUGCACCUAUAAAGCCUUUACGUCUGUUGGUGUGGCUUGUUACAUACUGUAUGUUUGUGAAAGUGCUUCACUCGUGCUGCGUUGCCAUUUUCUCUCUCAGGUUCGUAAACUUUGUUUUUGCUGCACAUAUAUUUAUGCAAGGAGUUUAAAAAACUGCCUCUUAAUAAUGAAGUAUGUAGUUUGUGUUUUCCUCUGCAGCCUUCUGUCAGGCUCAAAUUAGUUCGGAGAUGCUUAUAGAGUAACUGUGAUUUUUUUGCUCUGCAGGGAACUCUUAUGCAAAACUGUUUUCACUUUAUAAAAGCUUUUAAUUUAAUCUCCUCUCACUUUGCCUUAUCUGGGGUCUUGUAAUACUGUUUGGCCUUAAUGUAGAGGCCCUUUUUUUUCUUUUUUUAUGUGUGUUGGAAGUUAUGCUAUGAAAUAAAGAAAAUAUUGAUUCUGAGAUUUCCAGUGAGUGUUUUGUUUAAUGA